This 465-nucleotide ribosomal RNA is filed under the name Vreelandella stevensii. Its description in RNAcentral is "partial 16S ribosomal RNA". It matches the Rfam family "Bacterial small subunit ribosomal RNA", at positions 338 to 795 of the family's 1533-position model. Lineage: Bacteria; Pseudomonadati; Pseudomonadota; Gammaproteobacteria; Oceanospirillales; Halomonadaceae. The record is from RNAcentral.
CCUACGGGAGGCUGCAGUGGGGAAUAUUGGACAAUGGGCGAAAGCCUGAUCCAGCCAUGCCGCGUGUGUGAAGAAGGCCUUCGGGUUGUAAAGCACUUUCAGUGGGGAAGAAAGCCUUGGGGCUAAUACCCUCGAGGAAGGACAUCACCCACAGAAGAAGCACCGGCUAACUCCGUGCCAGCAGCCGCGGUAAUACGGAGGGUGCGAGCGUUAAUCGGAAUUACUGGGCGUAAAGCGCGCGUAGGCGGUCUGAUAAGCCGGUUGUGAAAGCCCCGGGCUCAACCUGGGAACGGCAUCCGGAACUGUCAGGCUAGAGUGCAGGAGAGGAAGGUAGAAUUCCCGGUGUAGCGGUGAAAUGCGUAGAGAUCGGGAGGAAUACCAGUGGCGAAGGUGGCCUUCUGGACUGACACUGACGCUGAGGUGCGAAAGCGUGGGUAGCAAACAGGAUUAGAUACCCUGGUAGUC